Molecule: unclassified non-coding RNA, 371 nt
Filed under: soil metagenome
Description: partial contains 5.8S ribosomal RNA, internal transcribed spacer 2, and large subunit ribosomal RNA
Rfam family: 5.8S ribosomal RNA (bases 1-120)
Source: RNAcentral
GAUGAAGAACGCAGCGAAAUGCGAUAAGCAAUGUGAAUUGCAGAAUUCAGUGAAUCAUCGAAUCUUUGAACGCACAUUGCGCCCCCUGGAAUUCCGGGGGGCAUGCCUGUUCGAGCGUCUCAGGGACGAACCCUCGCGCGGGUGUACGCGCGGUCGUGGCUGCGGUGGCGUGCCCGAGGCGGCGGCCACCGCGCUGGAAUCCAUGGGCGGACGCCUGCCGCGUGGCCGAGCGUGAUAUGACGCAUUGGCGCUCGCACGCGGCGAGGCUGCCAGCCCUGGCCCGUCUGUCGGGCGGGGGAGAGCAAGACACGUGAACUCCUCGAAUCAGGUAGGGAUACCCGCUGAACUUAAGCAUAUCAAUAAGCGGAGGA